AGACAUCGUACUAAAAACGACAACCAGUGCGAAAUUAAAGAUCAGUACUAACACGUUUUGGCUCGACCACUUUGAUGCCACAAAAGCUAAAAGAGAAGAUACCACGGCAAAACCAGCAACAUUUGUGAUGGAAAACGUGCAGAUAACAUCAACGGCUGCUACGACAGUUCAAGCUAGUCCUAGGAUGCCAACGGACGCACCCACAGUAAGGACAGCAUUAAAUGG
Long non-coding RNA from Branchiostoma belcheri (Belcher's lancelet), 225 nucleotides. RefSeq lists it as uncharacterized. The transcript has 3 exons. The record is from RefSeq and is a predicted model, not a curated record. Lineage: Eukaryota; Metazoa; Chordata; Leptocardii; Amphioxiformes; Branchiostomatidae.